GAUGAACGCUAGCGGGAGGCUUAAUACAUGCAAGUCGUACGGUAACAGGGGAGCUUGCUCCUGCUGACGAGUGGCGGACGGGUGAGUAACGCGUACACGAUCUACCUAUAAGUCUGGGAU
This 120-nucleotide ribosomal RNA is filed under the name uncultured bacterium. RNAcentral's name for it is "partial 16S ribosomal RNA". It matches the Rfam family "Bacterial small subunit ribosomal RNA", at positions 28 to 144 of the family's 1533-position model. The record is from RNAcentral.